ACGUAGGGUGCGAGCGUUAAUCGGAAUUACUGGGCGUAAAGCGUGCGCAGGCGGCUUUGCAAGACAGAGGUGAAAUCCCCGGGCUCAACCUGGGAACUGCCUUUGUGACUGCAAGGCUAGAGUACGGCAGAGGGGGAUGGAAUUCCGCGUGUAGCAGUGAAAUGCGUAGAUAUGCGGAGGAACACCAAUGGCGAAGGCAAUCCCCUGGGCCUGUACUGACGCUCAUGCACGAAAGCGUGGGGAGCAAACAGG
RNAcentral lists this ribosomal RNA (252 nucleotides) under uncultured bacterium. RNAcentral's name for it is "partial 16S ribosomal RNA". It matches the Rfam family "Bacterial small subunit ribosomal RNA", at positions 525 to 776 of the family's 1533-position model. The record is from RNAcentral.